UAUAAGAGAUUUUGAGUUUCUGCUUACAACGUUUGACCACUCGUCUUAUUUAAAAUUUUUUAAAAAUAUUAUUUAUUUUAUUUGUGUCUUACUUUAUUAUCUACAGUAUUUUAAGUACAACUUUUCGUUUUUUAUAUUUGCAAAAAAAAAAUUAAAUAAGACGAGUGGUCAAACGUUACAAACAAAAACUCAAAAUCCCUUAUA
RNAcentral lists this microRNA precursor (204 nucleotides) under Oryza rufipogon (brownbeard rice). RNAcentral's name for it is "MIR812 microRNA precursor family". It matches the Rfam family "MIR812 microRNA precursor family". The record is from Rfam by way of RNAcentral. Lineage: Eukaryota; Viridiplantae; Streptophyta; Magnoliopsida; Poales; Poaceae.